This is a non-coding RNA of Termitomyces sp. T32_za158, 81 nucleotides long. The record is from the annotation of a GenBank genome assembly. Lineage: Eukaryota; Fungi; Basidiomycota; Agaricomycetes; Agaricales; Lyophyllaceae.
GGGGUCUUAGCUCAGUGGUAGAGCGCGCGCUUCGCAUAAAGAGAUUGCGUGAGGUCGUGGGUUCAAUCCCCACAGACUCCA